AGUUCAUUAGCCCAGCUGGUCAGAGCAUCAUGCUAAUAAUGCCAAGACUGCAGGUUCAAUCUCAGUAUGAGCUA
Non-coding RNA from Lamprotornis superbus, 74 nucleotides. Lineage: Eukaryota; Metazoa; Chordata; Aves; Passeriformes; Sturnidae. The record is from the annotation of a GenBank genome assembly.